Transfer RNA from Ovis aries (sheep), 73 nucleotides. It matches the Rfam family "tRNA". From Rfam's summary of the family: Transfer RNA (tRNA) molecules are approximately 80 nucleotides in length. The record is from Rfam. Lineage: Eukaryota; Metazoa; Chordata; Mammalia; Artiodactyla; Bovidae.
UCCCUGGUGGUCAAGUGGUUAAGACUCCAUGCUCCUAAUACAGGGGGCCCAGGUUCAAUCCCUGGUCAGGGAA